Molecule: ribosomal RNA, 440 nt
Filed under: uncultured bacterium
Lineage: Bacteria
Description: partial 16S ribosomal RNA
Rfam family: Bacterial small subunit ribosomal RNA
Source: RNAcentral
CCUACGGGUGGCUGCAGUGGGGAAUAUUGCACAAUGGGGGAAACCCUGAUGCAGCGACGCCGCGUGAGUGAAGAAGUAUUUCGGUAUGUAAAGCUCUAUCAGCAGGGAAGAGAAUGACGGUACCUGACUAAGAAGCCCCGGCUAACUACGUGCCAGCAGCCGCGGUAAUACGUAGGGGGCGAGCGUUAUCCGGAUUUACUGGGUGUAAAGGGAGCGUAGACGGCUGUACAAGUCUGGAGUGAAAGGCCGGGGCUUAACCCCGGAACGGCUUUGGAAACUGUGCAACUGGAGUGCUGGAGAGGUAAGUGGAAUUCCUAGUGUAGCGGUGAAAUGCGUAGAUAUUAGGAGGAACACCAGUGGCGAAGGCGGCUUGCUGGACUGUAACUGACGUUGAGGCUCGAAAGCGUGGGGAGCAAACAGGAUUAGAUACCCCGGUAGUC